GGGAGGCAGCAGUGGGGAAUCUUGCGCAAUGGGCGAAAGCCUGACGCAGCCACGCCGCGUGAGUGAAGAAGGCCUUCGGGUUGUAAAGCUCUGUCGGAGGGGACGAACCUCCAUUAGGUGAAUAGCCUAGUGGACUGACGGUACCCUUAAAGGAAGCACCGGCUAACUCUGUGCCAGCAGCCGCGGUAAUACAGAGGGUGCAAGCGUUGCUCGGAAUCAUUGGGCGUAAAGGGCAAGUAGGUGGUCUCAUUUGUCUCGGGUGAAAUCCUUGGGCUUAACCCAAGAAGGGCCCGAGAAACGGUGAGACUCGAGUUCCGGAGAGGUGGGUGGAAUUCCCGGUGUAGCGGUGAAAUGCGUAGAGAUCGGGAGGAACACCAGCGGCGAAGGCGGCCCACUGGACGGACACUGACACUCAACUGCGAAAGCGUGGGGAGCAAACAGGAUUAGAUACCCCGGU
This 457-nucleotide ribosomal RNA is filed under the name uncultured bacterium. RNAcentral's name for it is "bacterial SSU rRNA". It matches the Rfam family "Bacterial small subunit ribosomal RNA", at positions 343 to 791 of the family's 1533-position model. The record is from RNAcentral.